RNAcentral lists this ribosomal RNA (1372 nucleotides) under uncultured bacterium. Its description in RNAcentral is "bacterial SSU rRNA". It matches the Rfam family "Bacterial small subunit ribosomal RNA", at positions 28 to 1381 of the family's 1533-position model. The record is from RNAcentral.
GAUGAACGCUGGCGGCGUGCCUAAUACAUGCAAGUCGAGCGAACGGACGAGAAGCUUGCUUCUCUGAUGUUAGCGGCGGACGGGUGAGUAACACGUGGAUAACCUACCUAUAAGACUGGGAUAACUUCGGGAAACCGGAGCUAAUACCGGAUAAUAUUUUGAACCGCAUGGUUCAAAAGUGAAAGACGGUCUUGCUGUCACUUAUAGAUGGAUCCGCGCUGCAUUAGCUAGUUGGUAAGGUAACGGCUUACCAAGGCAACGAUGCAUAGCCGACCUGAGAGGGUGAUCGGCCACACUGGAACUGAGACACGGUCCAGACUCCUACGGGAGGCAGCAGUAGGGAAUCUUCCGCAAUGGGCGAAAGCCUGACGGAGCAACGCUGCGUGAGUGAUGAAGGUCUUCGGAUCGUAAAACUCUGUUAUUAGGGAAGAACAUAUGUGUAAGUAACUGUGCACAUCUUGACGGUACCUAAUCAGAAAGCCACGGCUAACUACGUGCCAGCAGCCGCGGUAAUACGUAGGUGGCAAGCGUUAUCCGGAAUUAUUGGGCGUAAAGCGCGCGUAGGCGGUUUUUUAAGUCUGAUGUGAAAGCCCACGGCUCAACCGUGGAGGGUCAUUGGAAACUGGAAAACUUGAGUGCAGAAGAGGAAAGUGGAAUUCCAUGUGUAGCGGUGAAAUGCGCAGAGAUAUGGAGGAACACCAGUGGCGAAGGCGACUUUCUGGUCUGUAACUGACGCUGAUGUGCGAAAGCGUGGGGAUCAAACAGGAUUAGAUACCCUGGUAGUCCACGCCGUAAACGAUGAGUGCUAAGUGUUAGGGGGUUUCCGCCCCUUAGUGCUGCAGCUAACGCAUUAAGCACUCCGCCUGGGGAGUACGACCGCAAGGUUGAAACUCAAAGGAAUUGACGGGGACCCGCACAAGCGGUGGAGCAUGUGGUUUAAUUCGAAGCAACGCGAAGAACCUUACCAAAUCUUGACAUCCUUUGACAACUCUAGAGAUAGAGCCUUCCCCUUCGGGGGACAAAGUGACAGGUGGUGCAUGGUUGUCGUCAGCUCGUGUCGUGAGAUGUUGGGUUAAGUCCCGCAACGAGCGCAACCCUUAAGCUUAGUUGCCAUCAUUAAGUUGGGCACUCUAAGUUGACUGCCGGUGACAAACCGGAGGAAGGUGGGGAUGACGUCAAAUCAUCAUGCCCCUUAUGAUUUGGGCUACACACGUGCUACAAUGGACAAUACAAAGGGCAGCGAAACCGCGAGGUCAAGCAAAUCCCAUAAAGUUGUUCUCAGUUCGGAUUGUAGUCUGCAACUCGACUACAUGAAGCUGGAAUCGCUAGUAAUCGUAGAUCAGCAUGCUACGGUGAAUACGUUCCCGGGUCU